UAAUUGAAGAGUUUGAUCAUGGCUCAGAUUGAACGCUGGCGGCAGGCCUAACACAUGCAAGUCGGGCGGUAACAGGGGGAAGCUUGCUUCUCUGCUGACGAGCGGCGGACGGGUGAGUAAUGUAUGGGGAUCUGCCUGAUGGAGGGGGAUAACUACUGGAAACGGUAGCUAAUACCGCAUAAUGUCUUCGGACCAAAGCGGGGGACCUCAGGGCCUCGCGCCAUCAGAUGAACCCAUAUGGGAUUAGCUAGUAGGU
This 256-nucleotide ribosomal RNA is filed under the name Morganella morganii. Its description in RNAcentral is "partial 16S ribosomal RNA". It matches the Rfam family "Bacterial small subunit ribosomal RNA", at positions 1 to 253 of the family's 1533-position model. The record is from RNAcentral. Lineage: Bacteria; Pseudomonadati; Pseudomonadota; Gammaproteobacteria; Enterobacterales; Morganellaceae.